Molecule: non-coding RNA, 2165 nt
Organism: Coturnix japonica (Japanese quail)
Lineage: Eukaryota; Metazoa; Chordata; Aves; Galliformes; Phasianidae
Source: RefSeq, a predicted model, not a curated record
CUGGUACGUGCCUGCGGCCUCGGCGAGCCGCCCGCUGCAGGACCGAGCCCUCCACGGGCGGUAGAAAUCCUGCCCAGCUGCCCUCUGCGGCGAUUCCUACUUCUUCAGGAUGCGGCCCGACAAAACCAGAGUCCUUGACGUCCCCUGUUGAAGCCCAGAGGCUGCUGCCAAAUGCUUCCAUAGGCUGCCAGGAGAGGAAAGCACUUCUCCCGUACAUGAGCCGUGGCAAGCCAAAGUGCCAGGGACUGAGAAUGAGCACCUCAAGGCCAUCUCAAACAUCAAAGCCAGCAGCAGGUGCAGGGAAGAAAUGGACAAGGGUGUGGGUUGUGGAUCCACAGCAGAAAAUUAGAGAUGGGGCAAAAAGAGGCACAUUCAGGAGACCUGGAUCUGUCCUUUUCCUCAUGUUGGGUUCAUCUCGGUGUUUGCAUGGGCAUGUGGGCCAGUGAUGCCAGAACAGCUGGGCAGGAAGCCCAGCAACGCAGUCCUGAAGAACAAUUGUAGUUACUUGCAGGAAAGAAAGCAACAUUUCCAAAGUGUCUACAUUGGCAUCUGAGAACAUUAAAAGUUGCUUUCAUUUCUUACACUACUAGUAGCAUACUACAGUGAGCACAGUGAAUUUUCACUGUCCCCAGCUGAGGAGUUCCUUACCUGCCCAGGUAAGGAUUUACAGUUCACUUCAGUACGCUCAGAAGAUUUUUGCCUCUCUCUUCCUUUCUCCCGAUCUUUUUUCUCAUGUUCUUGCUUCCUCUCUGCCACUUUUCUGCUCCUCCGUCAUAAAGCCUACAGAUGGCACAACCAGCACUACAGCCCAGGUAUUCCCACUGCUCCAUCUUCUUUAGUGACCAUUUGCCAUUUGAGAUGAAUAAAAUAGUGCUGAAUAAAACUGAUGCCUUGUCAGGAAGAAAAUUUUUUUUCUGAAGGCCUAAUAAGAAAAGAUCAACAAAACCGGCCCUAACAGAGUCUUUCCGACUUGCACAUGUAGCACAAAUGCUGCUUUCAUUUACUGCCUCCACAGAUUUAGCCUUCAUCUCCAUUCUGCCCCUCUCCAACAGCUGCAUUUCCCCAGGAGGCUUUGUUUAGAGGCCUGCGUUCUGUGAGCUUUUAAUGUCUACUGUACAACAGGAAAUAUGGCAUCAUGUGAGAACGAUCAAUAGCACUGCUCCCUUUUGGGGUGCUACAAAGACAGCAGUGUGGCAAUCUGAGAUGUCAGAUGUUCAUUUUUUUCCUCCAUAAACUUUAAUGGCCAGUUUGUAGACAAGGCGUUAGUCACAUCCACAACACCUCGAUUUGAGAUAAGGGCAGGAGGUGAAUUCAGCUAAUGAACAGGUAAAUCUACUUAUUUUCAGCUAUUUUCUUUCAAGUCAGGGGCAGAUGAGCUUGGUCCUUAUCCUGAGCUCUUGAAUACAGACCGGUGGAAGCACAGGUGGAUGAGGGAGGCUUACAGUUGGAGCUGUAGUUCUUUCUACUGCUCUCCCUUUGCUGCCUAUCCAAGCUCUUGCAUAUUUCAAAUAUUGACACAGCUGCAAAGUGUUCUCGCUGGAGCUGGGCUUACAUGCUACGUUUGAAGCGUGUGCCCUCUGUGACAGCACAACUGGGAGAGAUGGGGGAGGAGCAGAGGGAAAGGAAGGGGAGAAGCCAGGCUCCUAUUGCUUGAUCUACUGACCUGUAACACCUUUCUUUAUUCUAAAGCGAUUGGAGAGAACAACUGGGAGCUGUUAUGAAGUGGUAGUGAGAGAAACACUGUUGUAAAUGAUUCAUUUCAUGCUUGAUCUGAGUAUGUAGGUGCAGGCCUGUGCUAUGUUGCAUAUAGUGGACUAAGCCUAAGGAGCCCGUAGGUGGCUCCCCUGGGCACCUUGUGAUGAUGCCACCACCAUGUCCCUGUCUUUGCCUUAGCAGCAGCAUGUUCCCAUGUCAACAUCCUUUUGUCUGACAAUAAAAUGAUGAAUAGAGCUAUUUACUUCUAAGGAAAUCCUGUCAAAACCCUCAACACUGUGAUGCUGGUGGAGCCUCAACAUGGAUGGGAUCUGCGCAGUACGCCAUGGCUUGACUGGACAUCUGGUUGAUGCUGUACACCUUGGGGUUCACAACAUCUGUACAGAUGUAAGAUUGUCUCUUGCUAUCCCCCUUUCUGACAUUAUCUCCAAUAAAUUGUAUUUUAAUUAAUA